GGGAUUUGCAGAUCUGCGGACUUUUAAUCCGUUGGUCGCGAGUUCGAGUCUCGCUCAGCCCACCA
This 65-nucleotide transfer RNA is filed under the name Achromobacter sp. LC458. RNAcentral's name for it is "tRNA-Lys". It matches the Rfam family "tRNA". Rfam says of the family: Transfer RNA (tRNA) molecules are approximately 80 nucleotides in length. Their secondary structure includes four short double-helical elements and three loops (D, anti-codon, and T loops). Lineage: Bacteria; Pseudomonadati; Pseudomonadota; Betaproteobacteria; Burkholderiales; Alcaligenaceae. The record is from RNAcentral.